Myripristis murdjan (pinecone soldierfish) is the source of this 130-nucleotide long non-coding RNA. RefSeq lists it as uncharacterized. The transcript is spliced from 3 exons. The record is from RefSeq and is a predicted model, not a curated record. NCBI's taxonomy places the organism in Eukaryota, Metazoa, Chordata, Actinopteri, Holocentriformes, Holocentridae.
UUUUUUAAUUAUAUGGGGGAUUACACAAUCCAUUAGGUGAGCGGGUGUUCCCUGAAGAGCUGGGUUUUUAGCCUUCUCUUAAAGACUGAGAGGGACUCUGUGGAUCGAAUGGAGACACAUUUGAUGACUU